RNAcentral lists this ribosomal RNA (783 nucleotides) under uncultured bacterium. RNAcentral's name for it is "bacterial SSU rRNA". It matches the Rfam family "Bacterial small subunit ribosomal RNA", at positions 8 to 780 of the family's 1533-position model. The record is from RNAcentral.
AGAGUUUGAUCCUGGCUCAGGAUGAACGCUGGCGGCGUGCCUAACACAUGCAAGUCGAACGAAGCACUUUCAGGGAAUCUUCGGAGGAACAGGAAGUGACUGAGUGGCGGACGGGUGAGUAACGCGUGGGUAACCUGCCCUGUACAGGGGGAUAACAGCCGGAAACGGCUGCUAAUACCGCAUAAGCGCACAGGAGGACAUCCUCCGGUGUGAAAAACUCCGGUGGUACAGGAUGGGCCCGCGUCUGAUUAGCUGGUUGGCGGGGUAAGAGCCCACCAAGGCGACGAUCAGUAGCCGGUCUGAGAGGAUGAACGGCCACAUUGGAACUGAGACACGGUCCAAACUCCUACGGGAGGCAGCAGUGGGGAAUAUUGCACAAUGGGGGGAACCCUGAUGCAGCAACGCCGCGUGAGUGAAGAAGUAUUUCGGUAUGUAAAGCUCUAUCAGCAGGGAAGAAGAGAUGACGGUACCUGACCAAGAAGCUCCGGCUAAAUACGUGCCAGCAGCCGCGGUAAUACGUAUGGAGCAAGCGUUAUCCGGAUUUACUGGGUGUAAAGGGUGCGUAGGUGGCGGUGCAAGUCAGAUGUGAAAUGCCCGGGGCUCAACCCCGGAGCUGCAUUUGAAACUGCAUGGCUCGAGUACAGGAGAGGCAGGCGGAAUUCCUAGUGUAGCCGGUGAAAUGCGAAAAUAUUAGGAAGGACCCCCAGUGGCGAAAGGCGGCCUUGUUGGACUGAAAACUGAACAUUGAGGGACGAAAAGCCGGGGGGAACCAAAACGGGAUUA